This 448-nucleotide ribosomal RNA is filed under the name uncultured bacterium. Its description in RNAcentral is "bacterial SSU rRNA". It matches the Rfam family "Bacterial small subunit ribosomal RNA", at positions 330 to 793 of the family's 1533-position model. The record is from RNAcentral.
GCCAGACUCCUACGGGAGGCAGCAGUGGGGAAUAUUGCACAAUGGGCGAAAGCCUGAUGCAGCAACGCCGCGUGAAGGAAGAAGGGUUUCGGCUCGUAAACUUCUAUCAACAGGGACGAAAGAAAUGACGGUACCUGAAUAAGAAGCCCCGGCUAACUACGUGCCAGCAGCCGCGGUAAUACGUAGGGGGCAAGCGUUAUCCGGAUUUAUUGGGUUUAAAGGGUGCGUAGGCGGUCCGGAAAGUCAGCGGUAAAAGCCGGGGGCCCAACCCCGGCGAGCCGUUGAAACUGUCGGACUAGAGACGGCGAGAAGUACGCGGAAUGCGCGGUGUAGCGGUGAGAUGCAUAGAUAUCGCGCAGAACUCCGAUUGCGAAGGCAGCGUACCGGCGCCGGACUGACGCUGAGGCACGAAAGCGUGGGUAUCGAACAGGAUUAGAUACCCCGGUAC